CGGCGGACGGGUGAGUAACACGUGGAUAACCUACCUAUAAGACUGGGAUAACUUCGGGAAACCGGAGCUAAUACCGGAUAAUAUUUUGAACCGCAUGGUUCAAAAGUAAAAGACGGUCUUGCUGUCACUUAUAGAUGGAUCCGCGCUGCAUUGGCUAGUUGGUAAGGUAACGGCUUACCAAGGCAACGAUGCAUAGCCGACCUGAGAGGGUGAUCGGCCACACUGGAACUGAGACACGGUCCAG
RNAcentral lists this ribosomal RNA (244 nucleotides) under uncultured Staphylococcus sp. RNAcentral's name for it is "partial 16S ribosomal RNA". It matches the Rfam family "Bacterial small subunit ribosomal RNA", at positions 96 to 334 of the family's 1533-position model. Lineage: Bacteria; Bacillati; Bacillota; Bacilli; Caryophanales; Staphylococcaceae. The record is from RNAcentral.